GGGUCUAUAGCUCAGUUGGUUAGAGCGCACCGCUCAUAACGGUAAGGUCGCAGGUUCAAGUCCUGCUAGACCCA
This 74-nucleotide transfer RNA is filed under the name Rickettsia sp. It matches the Rfam family "tRNA". From Rfam's summary of the family: Transfer RNA (tRNA) molecules are approximately 80 nucleotides in length. Their secondary structure includes four short double-helical elements and three loops (D, anti-codon, and T loops). Further hydrogen bonds mediate the characteristic L-shaped molecular structure. tRNAs have two regions of fundamental functional importance: the anti-codon, which is responsible for specific mRNA codon recognition, and the 3' end, to which the tRNAs corresponding amino acid is attached (by aminoacyl-tRNA synthetases). tRNAs cope with the degeneracy of the genetic code in two manners: having more than one tRNA (with a specific anti-codon) for a particular amino acid; and 'wobble' base-pairing, i.e. permitting non-standard base-pairing at the 3rd anti-codon position. The record is from Rfam by way of RNAcentral. Lineage: Bacteria; Pseudomonadati; Pseudomonadota; Alphaproteobacteria; Rickettsiales; Rickettsiaceae.